Tetracentron sinense is the source of this 75-nucleotide non-coding RNA. The record is from the annotation of a GenBank genome assembly. Lineage: Eukaryota; Viridiplantae; Streptophyta; Magnoliopsida; Trochodendrales; Trochodendraceae.
AGUUGGUUGGUGCAGUUGGCUAGCAUUCCAGGUUUGCUCCCUGUGGUUGAGUGUUCAAAUCCCACUCCUCAACUU